RNAcentral lists this ribosomal RNA (759 nucleotides) under uncultured Bacillota bacterium. RNAcentral describes it as "bacterial SSU rRNA". It matches the Rfam family "Bacterial small subunit ribosomal RNA", at positions 58 to 850 of the family's 1533-position model. Lineage: Bacteria; Bacillati; Bacillota. The record is from RNAcentral.
CAAGUCGAACGAGAAAGGGGAGCAAUCCCUGAGUAAAGUGGCGUACGGGUGAGUAACACGUGGAUAAUCUACCCUCUAGUGGGGAAUAACCCUGGGAAACCGGGGAUAAUACCGCAUAAGCUCGAGAGAGGAAAGCAGCAAUGCGCUGGAGGAGGAGUCCGCGGCCGAUUAGCUAGUUGGCAGGGUAAAAGCCUACCAAGGCAGAGAUCGGUAGCCGGCCUGAGAGGGCACACGGCCACACUGGCACUGAAACACGGGCCAGACUCCUACGGGAGGCAGCAGUGGGGAAUCUUGCACAAUGGGGGAAACCCUGAUGCAGCGACGCCGCGUGAGCGAUGAAGCCCUUCGGGGUGUAAAGCUCUUUCGGCAGGGAAGAUUAUGACGGUACCUGCAGAAGCAGCUGCGGCUAACUACGUGCCAGCAGCCGCGGUAAUACGUAGGCAGCGAGCGUUGUUCGGAGUUACUGGGCGUAAAGGGUGUGUAGGCGGUUAUUUAAGUUUGGUGUGAAAUCUCCCGGCUCAACCGGGAGGGUGCGCCGAAUACUGAAUGACUAGAGUGCGGGAGAGGUGAGUGGAAUUCCUGGUGUAGCGGUGAAAUGCGUAGAUAUCAGGAGGAACACCGGUGGUGUAGACGGCUCACUGGACCGUAACUGACGCUGAGACACGAAAGCGUGGGUAGCAAACAGGAUUAGAUACCCUGGUAGUCCACGCCCUAAACGAUGCAUAUUUGGUGUGGGCAGUUCAUUCUGUCCGUGCCGGA